This 70-nucleotide transfer RNA is filed under the name Gadus chalcogrammus (walleye pollock). RNAcentral's name for it is "tRNA-Pro". It matches the Rfam family "tRNA". From Rfam's summary of the family: Transfer RNA (tRNA) molecules are approximately 80 nucleotides in length. Their secondary structure includes four short double-helical elements and three loops (D, anti-codon, and T loops). The record is from RNAcentral. Lineage: Eukaryota; Metazoa; Chordata; Actinopteri; Gadiformes; Gadidae.
CAGAGGGUAGUUUAAUUUAGAAUUCUAGCUUUGGGGGCUAGUGGUGGGAGUUAAAAUCUCUUCUCUCUGA